RNAcentral lists this ribosomal RNA (500 nucleotides) under uncultured bacterium. Its description in RNAcentral is "partial 16S ribosomal RNA". It matches the Rfam family "Bacterial small subunit ribosomal RNA", at positions 29 to 523 of the family's 1533-position model. The record is from RNAcentral.
AUUGAACGCUGGCGGCAUGCCUUACACAUGCAAGUCGAACGGCAGCGCGGGAGCAAUCCUGGCGGCGAGUGGCGAACGGGUGAGUAAUAUAUCGGAACGUGCCCAGUAGCGGGGGAUAACGCAGCGAAAGCUGUGCUAAUACCGCAUACGCACUACGGGGGAAAGAGGGGGAUCGCAAGACCUCUCACUAUUGGAGCGGCCGAUAGCAGAUUAGCUUGUUGGCGGGGUAAAAGCCCACCAAGGCGACGAUCUGUAGCUGGUUUGAGAGAACGACCAGCCACACUGGGACUGAGACACGGCCCAGACACCUACGGGAGGCAGCAGUGGGGAAUUUUGGACAAUGGGCGCAAGCCUGAUCCAGCCAUGCCGCGUGCGGGAAGAAGGCCUUCGGGUUGUAAACCGCUUUUGUUCGGGAAGAAAUUGACUGGGCUAAUACCCUGGUCGGAUGACGGUACCGGAAGGAUAAGCACCGGCUAACUACGUGCCAGCCGCCGCGGUAA